CCUACGGGCGGCUGCAGUAAGGAAUAUUGGUCAAUGGAGGAAACUCUGAACCAGCCAUCCCGCGUGAAGGAUGAAGGGGCUCUGCCUUGUAAACUUCUUUUGUCUGGGGCGAAAAAGCUCGAUUUAUCGAGAACUGACGGUACCAGAAGAAUAAGCACCGGCUAACUCCGUGCCAGCAGCCUCGGUAAUACGGAGGGUGCAAGCGUUAUCGGGAAUCACUGGUGUUUAAGGGUGCGUAGACGGCUUUGGAGAAAGGAUGUGGCUUAACUAUGGAAUUGCCAUUGAUACUGCAGAGCUUGAAUGAGGUUGAGGUUGGCGGAAUGUGACAUGUAGCGGUGAAAUGCUUAGAUAUGUCAUGGAACACCGAUUGCGAAGGCAGCUGACUGGACCUAUAUUGACGCUGAGGCACGAAAGCGUGGGGAGCGAACAGGAUUAGAUACCCUAGUAGUC
Molecule: ribosomal RNA, 450 nt
Filed under: uncultured bacterium
Lineage: Bacteria
Description: partial 16S ribosomal RNA
Rfam family: Bacterial small subunit ribosomal RNA
Source: RNAcentral